AGAGGAUGUGAAAGGCACUGGAUAAUGCCGCAGAAGGGGAUGGAUGGGAAGCCUGUUGGUGCAGAUGUUAACGGCAUAUUCAGGAACCUGAUAAGCACCACCAGCAAAUUGGAUUGGAAUGGCAAGGGACAGAAGAUCUUGCCGUGGAUUUCUGCCGUCAGAAUGAGUGUCAGACCCGGCAUCUCUCAUUGGCCCUAGGUUCUUGCUGCUUUCUUUCAGCUGUUUCUCUUGACAGCAAAGAAUGCUGACAGCUUGGCUGAAUUCCCUAAACUCUGAUUUCCUAUCAGACCAAAAGAUGACAAAUGAGGUUUUCACUCCUGUUGAUGAGCAUAUCACGAAGAUGACAUAAUGGUGUAAUUUUUCGCCCCAAGACAAGGAAAAAAAUGUGUUGGAAAUCACUGUGUUCAUGUUUUUGUUCCCUUUCCACCUUCAUCUGACCAUAGUUGUCACUCAGAAACUCUAAAGAGAAGCAGAAAUGGAUGCUAUUGUUGAGUGGCUGCCUCGGUGUGUGUCUAUGACAAGGUCAUGCUCGUCACAGUAGCGGGGACAUGCUUUACUUAUUGAGAGAGGUUAUACCAGCAACACCGUACAGGCUCUUAACUGAUAUCUCUGGAAUUGGAUGUGACACCCCACAUGACAUUUCUUGGGGAGAAAGCCUGACAGACACCCAUCUACAGAAAUAACUACCUCCAUUUAUGCACUACCUAAAACAACCCCGGAGCAGUGUGUAUAAAGUUGUCUUCAGUCUUUGCA
This 753-nucleotide long non-coding RNA is filed under the name Chinchilla lanigera (long-tailed chinchilla). RNAcentral describes it as "lncRNA (ENSCLAG00000026764.1)". The record is from RNAcentral. Lineage: Eukaryota; Metazoa; Chordata; Mammalia; Rodentia; Chinchillidae.